Molecule: ribosomal RNA, 799 nt
Filed under: uncultured bacterium
Lineage: Bacteria
Description: bacterial SSU rRNA
Rfam family: Bacterial small subunit ribosomal RNA
Source: RNAcentral
UGGUGCUUGCGCCUGAUUGACGAUGGAUCACCAGUGAGUGGCGGACGGGUGAGUAACACGUAGGUAACCUGCCCCGGAGCGGGGGAUAACAUUUGAAAACAAAUGCUAAUACCGCAUAACAACAAAAGCCACAUGGCUUUUGUUUGAAAGAUGGCUUUGGCUAUCACUCUGGGAUGGACCUGCGGUGCAUUAGCUAGUUGGUAAGGUAACGGCUUACCAAGGCGAUGAUGCAUAGCCGAGUUGAGAGACUGAUCGGCCACAAUGGAACUGAGACACGGUCCAUACUCCUACGGGAGGCAGCAGUAGGGAAUCUUCCACAAUGGGCGCAAGCCUGAUGGAGCAACACCGCGUGAGUGAAGAAGGGUUUCGGCUCGUAAAGCUCUGUUGUUGGAGAAGAACGUGCGUGAGAGUAACUGUUCACGCAGUGACGGUAUCCAACCAGAAAGUCACGGCUAACUACGUGCCAGCAGCCGCGGUAAUACGUAGGUGGCAAGCGUUAUCCGGAUUUAUUGGGCGUAAAGCGAGCGCAGGCGGUUGCUUAGGUCUGAUGUGAAAGCCUUCGGCUUAACCGAAGAAGUGCAUCGGAAACCGGGCGACUUGAGUGCAGAAGAGGACAGUGGAACUCCAUGUGUAGCGGUGGAAUGCGUAGAUAUAUGGAAGAACACCAGUGGCGAAGGCGGCUGUCUGGUCUGCAACUGACGCUGAGGCUCGAAAGCAUGGGUAGCGAACAGGAUUAGAUACCCUGGUAGUCCAUGCCGUAAACGAUGAGUGCUAGGUGUUGGAGGGUUUCCGCCCUUCA